UAGUGAACCAGUACCGUGAGGGAAAGGCGAAAAGAACCCCGGCGAGGGGAGUGAAAAAGAACCUGAAACCGUGUACGUACAAGCAGUGGGAGCCCCACCACUAAGCCAGUGGUGAACUCCACAUACGCAUCCUUUGCUGAGGAUACGGUUAACGGAGCGCAAGCGACGUUCAACCUCAAAAGAAGCAGAGGGGGCUUAGUGGUGGGGUGACUGCGUACCUUUUGUAUAAUGGGUCAGCGACUUAUAUUCUGUAGCAAGGUUAACCGUAUAGGGGAGCCGGAGGGAAACCGAGUCUUAAUUGGGCGUUAAGUUGCAGGGUAUAGACCCGAAACCCGGUGAUCUAGCCAUGGGCAGGUUGAA
RNAcentral lists this ribosomal RNA (360 nucleotides) under Salmonella enterica subsp. enterica. Its description in RNAcentral is "partial 23S ribosomal RNA". It matches the Rfam family "Bacterial large subunit ribosomal RNA", at positions 488 to 749 of the family's 2925-position model. Lineage: Bacteria; Pseudomonadati; Pseudomonadota; Gammaproteobacteria; Enterobacterales; Enterobacteriaceae. The record is from RNAcentral.